This 346-nucleotide ribosomal RNA is filed under the name uncultured bacterium. RNAcentral describes it as "partial 16S ribosomal RNA". It matches the Rfam family "Bacterial small subunit ribosomal RNA", at positions 338 to 701 of the family's 1533-position model. The record is from RNAcentral.
CCUACGGGUGGCAGCAGUGGGGGAUAUUGCACAAUGGGGGCAACCCUGAUGCAGCGACGCCGCGUGAGCGAUGGAGUACUUCGGUAUGUAAAGCUCUUUCAGCAGGGAAGAGAAUGACGGUACCUGACCAAGAAGCCCCGGCUAAAUACGUGCCAGCAGCCGCGGUAAUACGUAUGGGGCAAGCGUUAUCCGGAUUUACUGGGUGUAAAGGGAGCGUAGGCUGCAGGGCAAGCCUGAUGUGAAAGCCCGGGGCUCAACCCCGGGACUGGAUUGGGAACUGCCACGCUCGAGUGCCGGAGGGGCAGGCGGAAUUCCUAGGGUAACGGUGAAAUGCGUAGAUAUUAGG